This 496-nucleotide ribosomal RNA is filed under the name uncultured bacterium. RNAcentral describes it as "partial 16S ribosomal RNA". It matches the Rfam family "Bacterial small subunit ribosomal RNA", at positions 899 to 1397 of the family's 1533-position model. The record is from RNAcentral.
ACUCAAAGGAAUUGACGGGGGCCCGCACAAGCGGUGGAGCAUGUGGUUUAAUUCGACGCAACGCGCAGAACCUUACCAGGGUUUGACAUCCUGUGCUCGCUGGAGAGAUCCAGUUUUCCCGCAAGGGACACAGAGACAGGUGCUGCAUGGCUGUCGUCAGCUCGUGUCGUGAGAUGUUGGGUUAAGUCCCGCAACGAGCGCAACCCUCGCCUUUAGUUGCCAUCAUUAAGUUGGGCACUCUAGAGGGACCGCCGGCGACAAGCCGGAGGAAGGUGGGGAUGACGUCAAGUCCUCAUGGCCCUUACACCCUGGGCUACACACGUGCUACAAUGGCGGUGACAGUGGGCAGCUAGCUCGCGAGAGUAAGCUAAUCCCAAAAAACCGUCCCAGUUCAGAUUGCAGUCUGCAACUCGACUGCAUGAAGGUGGAAUCGCUAGUAAUCGCAGAACAGCAGGCUGCGGUGAAUACGUUCCCGGGCCUUGUACACACCGCCCGU